UUGGUCAAUAGACAUGGUAUUAAAAUAUUGCUCAAAUAUUGGCUUUACAUCUACAAAGUCGAAAUACUAUAUAAAAAAAGGAUGGUAAUAUUUUUUAAUUCAACUAGUUCCACUUGUUCCUUGCUCCCUUUAUAUAAAUCUAACUUUAUCGUUAUGAUAUCAUUGCAAAAAAUCUGAGAUUCUAGUCUCAAAAUAGCAACAUCUCAAUACGGUGGCCAUUUUUAAAAUGGCGUGUGUUCCACGACAAAACACUUUGAAAUUUAAAUGCAACGACUUCGACAACAUCCCGCGCGUGCCAGCUGAAUUACAAACAUUUACAAUAAGUGACCAAAGAGAAUGAAUAUCGUGGAAUAGACACAAAGUUGUAACAAAAAAAUAUUCUGUAUAGUCUAUGAAGAAAAUCUUAUAUCUUAUUUAUCUGUAAAACAUUUUAUGUGUUAACUAAAAAAAUUUACUGCGAUAAUGCAGGAUAUUUUGGACACAUUAGAAAUUUUAUCCACAGAUAAAUAACUUAUAAAAAAAAUCCUUUAUACAGUUCAUGUCUAUAGGCGAUGGUUACCACUUUCCUGUUCACCAUUCUAAGUUGUAUAAAAAAAAAAUUGAAAAAUUACAUAAAAUAUUGUCAAGUAAUCUAAAAAUCUGUGUGGUCCCGGCAAACAACUUGCCACCACUUCCUUUCCCGUGGAUGUCGUAAGAGAAGGGAACUUAAUGGUCGUGGAAUAAGCAGUAGCGUCCCUAUUAAAACAUCAUCAAACCCAGUUGGGGUUUGUUGUUGCGUGGCGACUACUGGAAAAUCUUUCUUUCUUGGGGAGGCCUAUGUUCAGCAGUGGACAGUUACCAACUUAUAUGAUGACGAUGAUAAAUCUAUAAAUCAUGAUCCUGUCAGCAUCAACGCUUUUUGUAACUUAAAAAAAAAUCUGGGAGUAAAAAACAGCAUGUUACACGAAUCAGUUUCGGUUACGUAAAACUACAGUUAAACCAGCUAGUGAAAAUAAUGACGUGUUACGUACACGAACUAGUGUGACUAGUUUUAUGCCACUUACUGGUUCUUUCGAUUGCGUCACGACGAGGGUCAGCAGUGACGUGUGACUGGGCUUGUCAAACGCCAUAGUCAGCAUCUUUCGGCUGUGUAUAAUCCGUAUUGAGUAACUAUGGAAACAACAGAAAUACUCCUGUUGCAGAUUCAAUUUAAUAUGUGAGAACAAACUCUUUUUAUUAUUGCACGUACUGGCCACUUAUGCUUUUUUAUUAUAAAAAAAUAUAUAUAAUGCAUUCUGUCGAUUGUAUAUACUUUUUGUCUGAUGGCUUUCGCCAAAGUCAUAAUAAAUGAAAAAAAAAAUGUCUAUUGUAUUCAAAUUAAAAAAAAAGGAAACUUAAAAAUAUAAUACUCAUUUUAUUUUUCUCGUCGUUCUAAUAAAUAUUUAAUAGUUUAGCCGCAUUUGCAUCGCAAUUAUUAUAAUUUUCAACAACUCCUCGGGUUGACCACUAGAUGGAGUUGUUAUUUUAGUAUAUGUGUGUGCUACAACGCGAUAUUAAGAUUUUCUAACACGUGUAUAAAAGCUCAGGAAUAUAUUUAAUGGAAUGAUAAAAGUCAUGUGUACAAUCCAAGGUUGUAGUUAUUUAUUGAAAUAUAAAUUAAAAAGGUACCUAUAUUUUUGGAUUGGAGACUGUUACCUGUUCUCUAGUAUGGACUAACUAGACAUAGACAUAUCAUUUUAUUGAUGAAAAUACACUUAUUUAUUUAUUUAUUUAAACUUCAUUGACCAAUAUGUUUUUCUUAAGAUAGUCGCCUGAUCCAUUUAUGCAUUGAUUCAUGUAAUAUAAAUAUAUCUUUUACUAAAAUAUAAAUAAAUUCAUUUUUUUUAAACCGCCAUUGAGUAUCUCUGCACAACCUUUCAUAUUUUGUACCAUAUUUUCUUUUGAUCAAUACAGUUAUUUAAAUAAAUAAAAAAAUAAUAUAAAUGUGAAAUUGAAAUGAGUCCGUUUGUUUAUUUGUAAUCUAUUCGCGUUUUAACGGCUCAAUCAAACAUCGUCAAAUCCCAAACAAUAAACACAAUCCUGGUCACGCGGGCAAAGUCGUGGGUAAAUGCUAGCUAGCACAAUAUAAACUAAUAGACAUAUUAAAUAACAAUUUAUAAACAAAAUUCACACGGCCACAAUAUGUAUCACAGUUUUUAAAAGGUUUUAUUUUUUAAUUUAUUCCUAGAUCUGCGGUGUGUUCACAUACAGCCCAAAAGCGCGCCAAACCAUUUUACCCGUGAAACGCUUUCAUUUUAUACAAAAACACUCAGAAUUACGAGCAUUGUGACUGAAAUAGGCACAAGUAGGUCACAUUUUGUCUAAAAGGUUUCCUUUUCACAAGGAUGUGACACGAUAUAAUCUACUUACAUCAAUACAUAACCUGUGAACUGAUGUGACGUGUGUGUGUUUCUUUUGAACAAUAAACCUCGUUGGCACAAUGCGCAGCUGUCACAAUAACGUGAUAAUGUUGUAUGAGACUCAUACAUUUGCAUGUACCCGGAACUAGUGAGCACGAGCUGUGUGUGUGAAGACAUAUGUGGAACGAUGGCGGCGCGCCGUCACAGAAGCCGAUCUGAUAAAAACUGCUCUCAAUAGUUUAUUGGUGUUUACACGUCAAGUUGUCGAUAAUCUAUUUUUUUAUAACUACUUGCCAUAUUUUUUUUUUUUUAUUAUUUACUUAAACUUUUAUUGAAGUUACCACAUGAAAAUAUAGUUAUGAACAUUUUUAA
Long non-coding RNA from Galleria mellonella (greater wax moth), 2750 nucleotides. RefSeq lists it as uncharacterized. The transcript is spliced from 2 exons. Lineage: Eukaryota; Metazoa; Arthropoda; Insecta; Lepidoptera; Pyralidae. The record is from RefSeq and is a predicted model, not a curated record.